This 136-nucleotide small nucleolar RNA is filed under the name Carlito syrichta (Philippine tarsier). RNAcentral describes it as "Small nucleolar RNA SNORA42/SNORA80 family (ENSTSYG00000033353.1)". It matches the Rfam family "Small nucleolar RNA SNORA42/SNORA80 family". Rfam says of the family: The members of this family belong to the H/ACA class of snoRNAs that guide the sites of modification of uridines to pseudouridines. Human ACA42 (SNORA42) was cloned from HeLa cells by immunoprecipitation with anti-GAR1 antibody. Lineage: Eukaryota; Metazoa; Chordata; Mammalia; Primates; Tarsiidae. The record is from Rfam by way of RNAcentral.
GCAUGGGUCUGUAUUUAAGACAGCCCUGUCUCCCUGGGCCUCUCAUAGUACCCCAUGCCAGAGCAAACCGUGUCUUCAAACCACUGCCUGGCCUCUAUUCCCCUAGGCUGCUGGCACUGAAGCAGAUUGCACAGUG